Motacilla alba alba is the source of this 560-nucleotide long non-coding RNA. RefSeq lists it as uncharacterized. The transcript is spliced from 3 exons. The record is from RefSeq and is a predicted model, not a curated record. NCBI's taxonomy places the organism in Eukaryota, Metazoa, Chordata, Aves, Passeriformes, Motacillidae.
CACGGGGGACGUUCGGGGACAGAUUAAUGGGGCCAGGCGAGCCGGGCAGGGGAUGUGUGGGGACAAGGGAUGACCGAGGACAAGUGGCAGGUGUGUGGGGACAGACAGCAAAGAGCAGUGCACUGGAGAUUGCUGUACUUGCAACAGAGGAGCUUCUUCCUGGUCCCUUAACUAAGGUAACACCAUGCAUGAAAUCCAAGGGAAUGGCCUUCAGUUAUGGAAGAGACACUGGAACAGCAAUUAAGAUUGCAACUCAUACACAGUUAACCAUUGUGGGCUAAAGUAAAAGUUGGAUGAAUCAUUUUCCAGCCAUAUAAAUCACUGAAGUUGUUCUAUUCAUCACAAAGGUAAGCCAACCAUGUAAUGAAUUAUACAAUGUGUUAUUUUCCUAUGCAUGUUAUUCCCAUAGUUUGCUCUGUUGUUCAAAGUCUAUUUGUAUGAGGGGAUUUUUUUGCAAAUACUUUUAAAAUGAUGAAUAAUCUUUACUUAUAAGGCUAAAAAUACAUGCCAGCUAUUACUGUAUAUUAAAUCUGACAGCAGUUAAAGUGUUGGUAUCUGAA